Molecule: ribosomal RNA, 322 nt
Filed under: uncultured Rhogostoma
Lineage: Eukaryota; Cercozoa; Thecofilosea; Cryomonadida
Description: SSU rRNA
Rfam family: Eukaryotic small subunit ribosomal RNA (bases 56-322)
Source: RNAcentral
GAUUUCUGGUACAAUGCACCUGGCCCGGGGCCGUCAAGGUUUCUGAGUGCCGGCGCGCGUUUACCAUCCUUCUAGAAAACAUUCUUGCCGUUGAUUCGGUGGGUUUGGGAUCUAGAUCAUUUACUUUGAAAAAAUUAGAGUGUUUAAAGCAGGCUUUUGCUAUGAAUACAUUAGCAUGGAAUAAUAAUCUAGGACUUCGGUUCUAUUUUGUUGGUUUCUAUAACUGAAGUAAUGAUUGAUAGGGAUAGUUGGGGGUGCUAGUAUUGGCCGGCCAGAGGUGAAAUUCUUGGAUUCGGUCAAGACUAACUUAUGCGAAAGCAUU